This 478-nucleotide ribosomal RNA is filed under the name uncultured bacterium. RNAcentral describes it as "partial 16S ribosomal RNA". It matches the Rfam family "Bacterial small subunit ribosomal RNA", at positions 28 to 507 of the family's 1533-position model. The record is from RNAcentral.
GAUGAACGCUGGCGGCGUGCUUAACACAUGCAAGUCGAACGGGAAACCUUUUAUUGAAGCUUCGGCAGAUUUAGCUGGUUUCUAGUGGCGGACGGGUGAGUAACGCGUGGGUAACCUGCCUUAUACAGGGGGAUAACAACCAGAAAUGGUUGCUAAUACCGCAUAAGCGCACAGGACCGCAUGGUCCGGUGUGAAAAACUCCGGUGGUAUAAGAUGGACCCGCGUUGGAUUAGCUAGUUGGCAGGGUAACGGCCUACCAAGGCGACGAUCCAUAGCCGGCCUGAGAGGGUGAACGGCCACAUUGGGACUGAGACACGGCCCAGACUCCUACGGGAGGCAGCAGUGGGGAAUACUGCACAAUGGGGGAAACCCUGAUGCAGCGACGCCGCGUGAAGGAAGAAGUAUCUCGGUAUGUAAACUUCUAUCAGCAGGGAAGAUAGUGACGGUACCUGACUAAGAAGCCCCGGCUAACUACGUG